Molecule: non-coding RNA, 29 nt
Filed under: Mus musculus (house mouse)
Lineage: Eukaryota; Metazoa; Chordata; Mammalia; Rodentia; Muridae
Source: RNAcentral
UCCNCGGACCCACUACUCCCACAGAUAGC